This 67-nucleotide transfer RNA is filed under the name Holothuria fuscogilva. Its description in RNAcentral is "tRNA-Ala". The record is from RNAcentral. Lineage: Eukaryota; Metazoa; Echinodermata; Holothuroidea; Aspidochirotida; Holothuriidae.
GUGGUUUUAGUUUAACUAAAACUUCUGCUUUGCACGUAGAGGAUCCGAGAGUUGCUCGGAAACCACA